GCCCGCUCAGAAACUUAAAGGAAUUGACGGGGAGCACUACAACGGGUGGAGCCUGCGGUCUAAUUGGAUUCAACGCCGGAAAUCUCACCGGGGCGGACAGCAAUAUGAAGGUCAGGCUGAAGACCUUACCCGAUUUAGCUGAGAGGUGGUGCAUGGCCGUCGUCAGUUCGUACUGUGAAGCAUCCUGUUAAGUCAGGCAACGAGCGAGACCCACGUCCACAGUUGCCAGCAUACCCUCCGGGGUGAUGGGUACACUGUGGAGACCGCCGCUGCUAAAGCGGAGGAAGGAGUGGGCAACGGUAGGUCAGUAUGCCCCGAAUCUCCCGGGCCACACGCGGGCUACAAUGGUUGGUACAAUGGGCAUCUACCCCGAAAGGGGAAGGAAAUCUCUUAAAGCCAGUCGUAGUUCGGAUUGAGGGCUGCAACUCGCCCUCAUGAAGCUGGAAUCCGUAGUAAUCGCGUUUCAACAGAACGCGGUGAAUACGUCCCUGCUCCUU
Molecule: ribosomal RNA, 497 nt
Filed under: uncultured Methanosaeta sp.
Lineage: Archaea; Methanobacteriati; Methanobacteriota; Methanomicrobia; Methanotrichales; Methanotrichaceae
Description: bacterial SSU rRNA
Rfam family: Archaeal small subunit ribosomal RNA
Source: RNAcentral